CACACCACCAGGAUCCCUCUUAGUGAGCCUCCAAAAAGGAGCAAGUUUCAACAGUCCCGGGCGAGUCGGAGCCCGGGCAUCCUGCCAUCCCUGCAGCGAGGGCAUGGAGGGACAAGGGACAAGGAGCGGGUCUCCCUGACGGGGGAAAAGAAUAGGAUUGAGAUAUCUAAGACCUGAUUUCAAGUUCCAUCUCUGUGUAAUUUAUGAUCUUCCUGGCUUCAAGUCCAGCCCUCUGACAACAAAAGUAGAAAUAAAUAAGGAACCAAAGACA
Molecule: long non-coding RNA, 271 nt
Filed under: Monodelphis domestica (gray short-tailed opossum)
Lineage: Eukaryota; Metazoa; Chordata; Mammalia; Didelphimorphia; Didelphidae
Description: lncRNA (ENSMODG00000042780.1)
Source: RNAcentral